GACAGAGGCCUCGAGCGUUAAUCGGAAUUACUGGGCGUAAAGCGUGCGCAGGCGGUGAUGUAAGACAGGUGUGAAAUCCCCGGGCUUAACCUGGGAACUGCAUUUGUGACUGCAUCGCUGGAGUGCGGCAGAGGGGGAUGGAAUUCCGCGUGUAGCAGUGAAAUUCGUAGAUAUCGGGAGGAACACCAGUAGCGAAGGCGGCGCCUGGGCCAAUAUUGACGCUGAGGUGCGAAAGCGUGGGGAGCAAACAGG
RNAcentral lists this ribosomal RNA (252 nucleotides) under uncultured bacterium. RNAcentral's name for it is "partial 16S ribosomal RNA". It matches the Rfam family "Bacterial small subunit ribosomal RNA", at positions 524 to 776 of the family's 1533-position model. The record is from RNAcentral.